RNAcentral lists this ribosomal RNA (626 nucleotides) under uncultured fungus. Its description in RNAcentral is "eukaryotic LSU rRNA". The stretch from base 178 to 334 matches the Rfam family "5.8S ribosomal RNA". The record is from RNAcentral. Lineage: Eukaryota; Fungi.
UCCGUAGGUGAACCUGCGGAAGGAUCAUUAUCGUUGGGGCUUCGGCCCCGUCGAGAUAGUACCCUUGCCAUUUAUUAGCGUACCUGUUCGUUUCCUCGGUGGGCUCGCCCGCCAAUGGGGACCAAAACUUAACUCUUGUAUCAUUGUCAUUUAGUCUGAAUAAAAAUUAAAAAUUAAAACUUUCAACAACGGAUCUCUUGGUUCUGGCAUCGAUGAAGAACGCAGCGAAAUGCGAUAAGUAGUGUGAAUUGCAGAAUUCAGUGAAUCAUCGAAUCUUUGAACGCACAUUGCGCCCCAAGCCUUCUGGCCGAGGGGCACGUCUGCCUGGGUGUCACAAAUCGUCGUCCCCCCAUCCUUCUUGGAUGGUGGACGGAAACUGGUCUCCCGUGUGUUACCGCAUGCGGUUGGCCAAAAUCCGAGCUUAGGACGCUUGGAUCGUCUCGACAUGCGGUGGUGAAACAAAAGCCUAUUCGUUAAGUCGGUCGGUCCUGUCCAUAGUGAGCUCCCGAUGACCCAAAGUUCUCAACGCGACCCCAGGUCAGGCGGGAUCACCCGCUGAGGUUUAAGCAUAUCAAUAAGGCGGGAGGGGGAAGGUCGGACUGGCCAAGGGCACACAGGGGGGGAUA